GAUGAACGCUGGCGGCGUGCUUAACACAUGCAAGUCGAACGAAGCACUUUAUUUGAUUUCCUUCGGGACUGAUUAUUUUGUGACUGAGUGGCGGACGGGUGAGUAACGCGUGGGUAACCUGCCUUGUACAGGGGGAUAACAGUUGGAAACGGCUGCUAAUACCGCAUAAGCGCACAGCAUCGCAUGAUGCAGUGUGAAAAACUCCGGUGGUAUAAGAUGGACCCGCGUUGGAUUAGCUAGUUGGUGAGGUAACGGCCCACCAAGGCGACGAUCCAUAGCCGACCUGAGAGGGUGACCGGCCACAUUGGGACUGAGACACGGCCCAAACUCCUACGGGAGGCAGCAGUGGGGAAUAUUGAACAAUGGGCGAAAGCCUGAUGCAGCGACGCCGCGUGAGCGAAGAAGUAUUUCGGUAUGUAAAGCUCUAUCAGCAGGGAAGAUAAUGACGGUACCUGACUAAGAAGCACCGGCUAAAUACGUG
This 481-nucleotide ribosomal RNA is filed under the name uncultured bacterium. RNAcentral describes it as "partial 16S ribosomal RNA". It matches the Rfam family "Bacterial small subunit ribosomal RNA", at positions 28 to 507 of the family's 1533-position model. The record is from RNAcentral.